GAAGGAUUCUACAUACGAUCAGGGAUAAUCAUUAUAUCAGAGAAAGCCACAAUUAGAGAUGGAACAGUUAUAUGAACUAGAAAAGCAUCUCUUGUUGAACUAGUGGAAAUCCAAAUCUCAACUUGAAGAAGGUCAAGGGUGAUGACCUAUUUCCCACAAAAACCUAGCACAUUCAGCUCCGGAAGAAGCUUUCUAUGCUCAUGUGAAAAGAGCAAGUAUAAUCGAGACACGUGUCUAAAAUAAAACUAAAGUUGCUGCCUAGUUCAUGUUCUAAGAG
Molecule: unclassified non-coding RNA, 277 nt
Filed under: Hevea brasiliensis (rubber tree)
Lineage: Eukaryota; Viridiplantae; Streptophyta; Magnoliopsida; Malpighiales; Euphorbiaceae
Source: RNAcentral